This 352-nucleotide transfer-messenger RNA is filed under the name bacterium. RNAcentral describes it as "g UBA2134 X1 Standard tmRNA". It matches the Rfam family "transfer-messenger RNA". Rfam says of the family: Bacterial tmRNA, also known as 10Sa RNA or SsrA, is named for its dual tRNA and mRNA-like properties. Its role is to liberate the mRNA from a stalled ribosome. The record is from RNAcentral. RNAcentral also lists the same sequence under 1 other name.
GGGGGCGAUCGGUUUCGACAGNAUAAGAGCUGUAAUGGAUUGCGCGCGGAGGAUAAUAGCAAUCUCCUAAAUCAGUUAUUACAAACAUAGUUGCCGAUCACGGCUACAUGGCUGCAGCUUAGCUAGCAGUCCGUUUCUGUUCAAAUAUGCCAGCGGUUUGAACANGAAACGUCAAUUACGCAGGCUGGUCUUUAAUAUGCCUAAAUAUUAAGGACGAGAACAAUUNAGGCUCGCUCUANUGAAUUUUUGUCUUAUGUUAUAAUUAGAGUAAAAACUUAACCUUUGACUAUGCGUGUAGACGUNUGUUAUAAUUUUAUUUUGGACGGGAGUUCGAUUCUCCCCGCCUCCACUU